Molecule: unclassified non-coding RNA, 310 nt
Filed under: plant metagenome
Description: partial contains 5.8S ribosomal RNA, internal transcribed spacer 2, and large subunit ribosomal RNA
Rfam family: 5.8S ribosomal RNA (bases 1-105)
Source: RNAcentral
GAAAUGCGAUAAGUAGUGUGAAUUGCAGAAUUCAGUGAAUCAUCGAAUCUUUGAACGCACAUUGCGCCCCUUGGUAUUCCAUGGGGCAUGCCUGUUCGAGCGUCAUUUGUACCCUCAAGCUCUGCUUGGUGUUGGGUGUUUGUCCCCGUCUCCGCGCGUGGACUCGCCCCAAAGUGAUUGGCAGCCGGCGUACUGGUCCCGGAGCGCAGCACAUGUCGCGCAAACGAGUGCCUUGGUACGGCGGCGUCCAUAAGCCCCUCUCUCACGCUCUUGACCUCGGAUCAGGUAGGUAUACCCGCUGAACUUAAGC